CGCAGCCGCGGUAAUUCCAGCUCCAAUAGCGUAUAUUAAAGUUGUUGCAGUUAAAAAGCUCGUAGUUGAAUUUCGGGAUCAAUAUAUUGGUCGUGCCUUCGGUACGUACUGGUAUCGUUGAUUUCUACCUUCUGACGAACCAUGAUGUCAUUUAUUUGGUGUCAUGGGAAAUCAGGACUGUUACUUUGAAAAAAUUAGAGUGUUUAAAGCAGGCACACGCUUGAAUACAUUAGCAUGGAAUAAUGAAAUAGGACGUUUGACCCUAUUUUGUUGGUUUCUAGGGUCGACGUAAUGAUUAAUAGGGAUAGUUGGGGGCAUUAGUAUUCAAUUGUCAGAGGUGAAAUUCUUGGAUUUAUUGAAGACUAACUACUGCGAAAGCAUUUGCCAAGGAUGUUUUCAUUAAUCAAGAACGAAAGUUAGGGGAUCGAAGACGAUCAGAUACCGUCGUAGUCUUAACCAUAAACUAUGCCGACUAGGGAUCGGAUGAUGUUAAUUUUUAAUGACUCAUUCGGCGCCUUAC
Molecule: ribosomal RNA, 520 nt
Filed under: uncultured Glomus
Lineage: Eukaryota; Fungi; Glomeromycota; Glomeromycetes; Glomerales; Glomeraceae
Description: SSU rRNA
Rfam family: Eukaryotic small subunit ribosomal RNA
Source: RNAcentral